RNAcentral lists this ribosomal RNA (497 nucleotides) under uncultured bacterium. RNAcentral's name for it is "partial 16S ribosomal RNA". It matches the Rfam family "Bacterial small subunit ribosomal RNA", at positions 28 to 507 of the family's 1533-position model. The record is from RNAcentral.
GAUGAACGCUGGCGGCGUGCCUAAUACAUGCAAGUCGAGCGAACAGACGAGGAGCUUGCUCCUCUGACGUUAGCGGCGGACGGGUGAGUAACACGUGGAUAACCUACCUAUAAGACUGGGAUAACUUCGGGAAACCGGAGCUAAUACCGGAUAAUAUAUUGAACCGCAUGGUUCAAUAGUGGAAGACGGUUUUGCUGUCACUUAUCGAUGGAUCCGCGCCGCAUUAGCUAGUUGGUAAGGUAACGGCUUACCAAGGCAACGAUGCGUAGCCGACCUGAGAGGGUGAUCGGCCACACUGGAACUGAGACACGGUCCAGACUCCUACGGGAGGCAGCAGUAGGGAAUCUUCCGCAAUGGGCGAAAGCCUGACGGAGCAACGCCGCGUGAGUGAUGAAGGUCUUCGGAUCGUAAAACUCUGUUAUUAGGGAAGAACAAAUGUGUAAGUAACUAUGCACGUCUUGACGGUACCUAAUCAGAAAGCCACGGCUAACUACGUG